GAUGAACGCUGGCGGCGUGCCUAAUACAUGCAAGUCGAGCGAACAGACGAGGAGCUUGCUCCUCUGACGUUAGCGGCGGACGGGUGAGUAACACGUGGAUAACCUACCUAUAAGACUGGGAUAACUUCGGGAAACCGGAGCUAAUACCGGAUAAUAUAUUGAACCGCAUGGUUCAAUAGUGAAAUACGGUUUUGCUGUCACUUAUAGAUGGAUCCGCGCCGCAUUAGCUAGUUGGUAAGGUAACGGCUUACCAAGGCAACGAUGCGUAGCCGACCUGAGAGGGUGAUCGGCCACACUGGAACUGAGACACGGUCCAGACUCCUACGGGAGGCAGCAGUAGGGAAUCUUACGCAAUGGGCGAAAGCAUGACGGAGCAACGCCGCGUGAGUGAUGAAGGUCUUCGGAUCGUAAAACUCUGUUAUUAGGGAAGAACAAAUGUGUAAGUAACUAUGCACGUCUUGACGGUACCUAAUCAGAAAGCCACGGCUAACUACGUG
This 497-nucleotide ribosomal RNA is filed under the name uncultured bacterium. RNAcentral describes it as "partial 16S ribosomal RNA". It matches the Rfam family "Bacterial small subunit ribosomal RNA", at positions 28 to 507 of the family's 1533-position model. The record is from RNAcentral.